RNAcentral lists this ribosomal RNA (435 nucleotides) under uncultured bacterium. RNAcentral's name for it is "bacterial SSU rRNA". It matches the Rfam family "Bacterial small subunit ribosomal RNA", at positions 29 to 507 of the family's 1533-position model. The record is from RNAcentral.
AGCGAACGCUGGCGGCAGGCUUAACACAUGCAAGUCGAGCGGGCGUAGCAAUACGUCAGCGGCAGACGGGUGAGUAACGCGUGGGAACAUACCUUUUGGUUCGGAACAACACAGGGAAACUUGUGCUAAUACCGGAUAAGCCCUUACGGGGAAAGAUUUAUCGCCGAAAGAUUGGCCCGCGUCUGAUUAGCUAGUUGGUGAGGUAAUGGCUCACCAAGGCGACGAUCAGUAGCUGGUCUGAGAGGAUGAUCAGCCACACUGGGACUGAGACACGGCCCAGACUCCUACGGGAGGCAGCAGUGGGGAAUCUUGGACAAUGGGGGAAACCCUGAUCCAGCCAUGCCGCGUGAAUGAUGAAGGCCUUAGGGUUGUAAAGUUCUUUCGCCAGGGAAGAUAAUGACGGUACCUGGAUAAGAAGCCCCGGCAAACUUCGUG